Molecule: ribosomal RNA, 253 nt
Filed under: uncultured bacterium
Lineage: Bacteria
Description: partial 16S ribosomal RNA
Rfam family: Bacterial small subunit ribosomal RNA
Source: RNAcentral
UACGUAGGGGGCUAGCGUUGUCCGGAAUCAUUGGGCGUAAAGCGCGUGUAGGCGGCCCGAUAAGUCCGCUGUGAAAGUCCAGGGCUCAACCCUGGGAUGCCGGUGGAUACUGUCGGGCUCGAGUCCGGAAGAGGCGAGUGGAAUUCCUGGUGUAGCGGUGAAAUGCGCAGAUAUCAGGAGGAACACCAAUGGCGAAGGCAGCUCGCUGGGACGUGACUGACGCUGAGGCGCGACAGCGUGGGGAGCAAACAGG